This 310-nucleotide ribosomal RNA is filed under the name Sphingomonas sp. 4CI. Its description in RNAcentral is "bacterial SSU rRNA". It matches the Rfam family "Bacterial small subunit ribosomal RNA", at positions 69 to 404 of the family's 1533-position model. The record is from RNAcentral. Lineage: Bacteria; Pseudomonadati; Pseudomonadota; Alphaproteobacteria; Sphingomonadales; Sphingomonadaceae.
AGAUCCUUCGGGGUCUAGUGGCGCACGGGUGCGUAACGCGUGGGAAUCUGCCCUUAGGUUCGGAAUAACAGUUAGAAAUGACUGCUAAUACCGGAUGAUGACGUUAAGUCCAAAGAUUUAUCGCCUGAGGAUGAGCCCGCGUAGGAUUAGCUAGUUGGUGUGGUAAAGGCGCACCAAGGCGACGAUCCUUAGCUGGUCUGAGAGGAUGAUCAGCCACACUGGGACUGAGACACGGCCCAGACUCCUACGGGAGGCAGCAGUGGGGAAUAUUGGACAAUGGGCGCAAGCCUGAUCCAGCAAUGCCGCGUGA